UUUUAUCUUAUACUUUAAGCUUUCCGAAAGUUAUGCUAAGGAACUUCCUUCUCAUUUUCAAGAUAACAUCAGAGUAAGUUCUAGUUACCAUGUCGGUCCCUUGUUUCUCUUGCCUUUCUUUAGUUGUAUAUUUCUCCUUUUAUUGCUUAAUUGUUUAAUCAUUUCUUCUACAUAUUUGUCUUUUUUUCAUUUCAACUUGUUCCAGAGUUCUAUCUCUUGUAACGUUCAUUUCUCUGUUGGUAUAUGUAAUGACCCGACUGGUCGUUUUGAGAGUCUUAGCCCCGAACCCUUAUUUAUUACCCCCUCUAUUUUAUUUUAUGGUUACGUGACUUGCUGGGGGAUUUGUUUUUAGUUUUGGAGUGAAAUGGGACACAUAGUCCCUAAAUUGGGAGUUAAGUUCUAGGAAUUGACCGUAGUUCGAAUUGUGUGAAGACGACUCCAGAAUGGAGUUUCGACGGUUCCAAUAGCUCCGUAGGGUAAUUUUGGUCUUAGAAUUGUGUUCGGAUGUUGAAUUGGAGGUCCGUUGGUCAUUUUAGCGUCAAUUGGCGAAAGUUGGAAAAUUGGAUAAUUUUUGGGAAGUUGACCGGGAGUGGAAUUUUUUAUAUCGGGGUCGUUUUACGAUUUCAGAAGUUAGAGUAGGUCUGUAAUGUCAAUUAUGAGUUGUGUGCAAAAUUUGAGGUCAACCGGACUUGAUUUGAUAGGUUUCAGCAUCAGAUGUAGAAGUUUAAUGUUUUGAAGUUAUUAGGCUUUAAUCGAUGCGCAAUUCAUGCUUUUAUCAUUGUUUGAUAUGAUUUAAGGUCUCAACUAAAUUUGUAUGAUAUUUUAAGACUGGUUGGUAUAUUUGGUCGAGGUCCCGGGGGCCUCGGGUGAUUUCCGGAUGGUUAACGGAUCAAUUUGGACUUAUGAGAAUGGCUUAAGUGCACUAGUGCUGGUGUAAUUGCACCUGCGCAAGAUUGACAGCUGGUGCGAGCUCGUAGAAGCGAGCAUUUGGGCGCAUAUGCGGGGCUAGAGAAAAUGGCAUGUGGUCGGAGGUGCAGUGUGAAGGCCGUAGAAGCGGAGUCGCUUCACUGGAAGAGUGACCGCAGAAGAGGAGUUGAGCAAGGAAGCUGGGACCAUAGAAGCGUCUUGGAGGCUCGCAGAAGCGAGUCUGUAGAAGUGAGUCCACAGAAGCGGAGUGAGGGGACACGGGAGCAGAAGAAUCCACAGAUGCGAGUGAGUGGUCGCUUCUGUGACGCCGCAUAAGCGGUUAAGCUUUCGCAGAAGCGGAAGUGCUGGCAGAAUACUUAAAUACAAGGGUUCACGAUUUUGCUUCAUUUUAAACAUUUUGAGCUCGGGCCUUGGUGAUUGUUUAGAGAAUUUUCGAGGGAUUUCUUGGGGUAAGUCUCUUGUACUCAUUUUUUAUCAAUAAUCUUGUUGCUAUUUUUGAUCAAUUUCGCCCUAGAGAGGGAGGUCAGGCCAGAUAUUAUGCCCUUCCUGCUAGGACGGAGGCAGUUGUAUCUGAUUCUGUCAUCACAAGUAUUGUUGUAGUCUGGCAUAGAGAUGCAUCAGCCUUAUUUGAUCCAUGUUCCACUUAUUCCUAUGUGUCAUCUUAUUUUGCUUCGUAUUUGGGUGUAUUCCAUGAUUCUCUGAGCUAACAUGUCUAUGUGUCUACACAGGUGGGUGAUUCUAUUGUUGUUGACCGUGUGUAUCGGUUGUGUUUGAUUGUUCUUAGUGAUUUAUUGACCAUAGACAAUUUAUUAUUGCUCAGUAUGGUGGCUUUUGAUGUUAUUUUGGGCAUGGACUGGUUGUCGCCCUAUCACACUAUCCUUGAUUGCCACGCCAAGAUGGUGACGUUAGCUAUGCCAGGUCUACCGUGGCUAGAGUAAAGAGGUACCUUAGAUCAUGUUCCUAGCAGGGUUGUCUUAUUUCUUAAGGCUCGGCGAAUGGUUGAGAAGGGGUGUGAUGUGUAUCUGGCAUAUGUGAGGGAUGUUAGUGCUGAUACUCUUACCGUCGAGUUAGUUUCGGUAGUGAGGGACUAUCCAGAUAUAUUUCCGACGGAUCUUUCGGGCAUGCCGCCCGACAGAGAUAUCGACUUUGGCAUUGAUUUGUUACCGGGCACGCAACCUAUUUAUAUCCCACCUUAUCGUAUGGCAGUAGAGUUGAAAGAAUUAAAGGAACAGUUGCAAGAGUUGCUUAAUAAGGGCUUUAUUCGGCCCACUGUGUUGCCUUGCGGUGCUCCUGUCUUGUUUGUAAAGAAGAAGGAUGGUUCUAUGUGAAUGUGUAUUGAUUAUCGCCGGCUGAACAAUGUUGCAGUGAAGAACAAGUAUCCAUUGCCCCGUAUUGAUGACCUAUUUGAUCAGCUUAAAUGUGCCAGAGUUUUUUCUAAGAUCGACUUGCGUUCAGGCUAUCAUCAGUUGAAGAUUCGAGAGCCAGAUAUCCCGAAGACUGCUUUCAGGACUCGGUAUGGUCAUUACGAGUUCCUUGUGAUGUCUUUUGGGCUGACCAACGCCCCGGCAACAUUCAUGCACUUGAUGAACAGUGUAUUUUAUCCCUAUCUUGACUCUUUCAUCAUUGUGUUUAUUGACGACAUUCUGGUGUACUCCCGGAGUCGGGAGGAUCAUGAACAGCACACGAGGACUGUGCUUUAGACCUUGAGGGAAAAGAAGUUAUAUGCAAAAUUUUCGAAGUGUGAGUUCUGGCUAGAUUCAGUGGCAUUUUUGGGUCAUGUGGUAUAGAGUGAGGGGAUCAAGGUAUAUCCGAAGAAGAUUGAAGCAGUGCAGAGUUGGCCUAGACCAUCCUCAGCUACAGAGAUCCGAAGUUUUCUUGGCUUGGCGGGGUAUUACCGUCGAUUUGUAGAGGGUUUCUCGUCUGUUGCAGCACCUAUGACCAGAUUGACCCAGAAGAUUGCUCCAUUCAGGUGGACCGAGGAGUGUGAGGAGAUCUUUUAAAAGCUCAAGACUGCUUUGACUACAGCCCCAGCAUUGGUGUUGCCUACUAGUUCGGGGCCUUAUAUGGUGUAUUGUGACACGUCGGGCAUUAGUCUCGGCGCAGUGUUGAUGCAGGAUGGUAGGGUGAUUGCCUUUGCGUCUAGACAGCUGAAGGUGCAUGAGAAGAAUUAUCCGGUCCACGACUUCGAGUUAGCAUCUAUUGUUCAUGCCUUGAAGAUAUGGCGGCACUAUUUUUAUGGUGUCCCUUGUGAGGUCUUCACCAAUCAUCGGAGUCUACAUUAUUUAUUUAAACAGAAGGAUCUUAACUUGUGGCAGCGAAGAUGGUUGGAGCUGCUUAAGGAUUAUGAUAUCAUCAUUCUCUAUCAUCCCAGGAAGGCCAAUGUGGUGGCCAAUGCCUUGAGUCGCAAGGCGGAGAUUUUGGGCAGUUUAGCAUAUCUACCGGUAGCAGAGAGGACUUUAGCCUUGGAUGUUCAGGCCUUGGCCAACCAGUUUAUCAGAUUGGAUAUUUCCGAGCCGAGCAGAAUAUUGGCUUGCUUGGUUUCUCGAUCUUCUCUUUAUGAUCAUAUCAGAGAGCGUCAGUAUGAUGACCCCCAUUUUCUUGUCCUUAAAGACACGGUUCAGCACAACGAUGCCAAGGAGAUCACCAUUGGAGAUGACGGUGUAUUACAGAUGCAGGGCAUGCUAUGUGUGCCCAAUGUAGAUGGAUUACGUGAGUUGAUUCUCCAGGAGGAUCACAGUUUGCGGUACUCCAUUUAUCCAGGUGCCGUGAAGAUGUAUCAGGACUUGAGGUAGCACUAUUAGUGGAGGCAGAUGAAGAAGUACAUAGUGGAAUAUGUAGCCCGGUGCCUAAAUUGUUAAUAGGAGAAGUAUUAGCAUCAACGACCGAGUGGAUUGCUUCAGAAGUUAGAGAUUUCAUAGUGAAAAUGGGAGCGAAUCACUAUGGAUUUCGUUGGGCUCCCACGGACUCAGAGGGAGUUUGAUACAGUUUGGGUAAUUAUGGAUAGAUUGACCAAGUCAGCUCAUUUUAUUCCUGUGGUUACUACUUACUCUUCGGAGUAGUUGGCUCAGGUUUACUUUCGCGAGAUUGUCAGGCUUCAUGGCCUACCAGUAUCUAUCAUCUAUGAUCGGGGUACGUAGUUUACAUUGCGGUUCUGGAGAGCCGUAUAGUAUGAGUUGGGUACUCGGGUGGAGUUGAAUACAACAUUUCACCCUCAGACGGACGGACAAUCUGAGCGCACUAUUCAGAUAUGGGGGGGCUUGGUAUCAGUUCUUGCCACUGACGGAGUUUGCCUACAACAACAAUUAUCAAUCGAGCAUUCAGAUGGCACCGUAUGAGGCUUUGUAUGGUAGGCGGUGUCGGUCUCCAGUGAGUUUCUUCGAGCCGGGCGAGGCUAGGCUAUUGGGUACAGACUUGGUUCAGGAUGCUUUGGAAAAUGUUAAAUUGAUUCAGGAUCGACUCAGUACAGUCCAGUCCAGACAAAAGAGUUAUGCGUAUCGGAAGGCUCGCGACGUUGCUAUUAUGGUUGGGGAGUGGGUCUUGCUCCGAGUUUCGCCCAUGAAGGGUAUUAUGAGGUUCGGAAAGAAGGUAAAGUUGAUCCCUAGGUAUAUUGGGCCUUUUGAGAUUCUUGAGAGGGUUGGAGAGGUGGCUUACAGACUUGCACUACCACCUAGUCUCACUGCAGUUCAUCCAAUGUUCCAUGUUUCCAUGCUCAGGAAGUAUCACAACGAUCCGUCUCAUGUGUUAGACUUCAGCUCAGUCCACUUGGACAUGGAUCUAUCCUAUGUUGAGGAGCCGGUGGCCAUCUUGGACAGACAUGUCCGAAAGUUGAGGUCAAAGAGCAUCGCAUCAAUGGAGGUGCAGUAGAGGGGUCAUCGGGUAGAGGAAGCGACUUGGGAGACCGAGAAUGAUAUGCGCAAUCGUUAUCCUCAUCUUUUAACCACUUCAGCUAUGUCUCUAUACUCGUUCGAGGACGAAUGUUUGUUUUGGGGGGGGGGGGUGUAAUGACCCAGCUGGUCGUUUUGAGAGUAUUAGCCCCGAACCCCUAUUUAUUGCUCCCUCUAUUACAUUUUGUGGGUAUGUGACUUGCCGGGGGAUUUGUUUUUGGUUUUGGAGUGAAAUGGGAUAGAUAGUCCCUAAAUUUGGAGUUUAAGUUCUAGGAAUUGACCGUAGUUUGAAUUGUGUAAAAACGACUCCGGAAUGGAGUUCUGAAGGUUCCAAUAGCGCUGUAGGGUGAUUUUGGACAUAAGAGCGUGUUCGGGUGUUAAAUUGGAGGUCCGUAGGUCAUUUUAGCGUCAAUUGGUGAAAUUUGGAAAAUUGGAUAAUUUUAGGGAAGUUGAUCGGGAGAGAACUUUUUGAUAUCCGGGUCGGUUUCUGAUUCUGGAAGUUGGAGUAGGUCCAUAAUAUCAAUUAUGAGUUGUGUGCAAAAUUCAAGGUCAUUCGGACUUGAUUUGAUAGGUUUUAGCAUCAGAUGUAGAAGUUUGAAGUUUUAAAGUUUAUUAGGCUUGAAUCGAUGCACAAUUCGUGUUUUUAGCGUUGUUUGUUGUGAUUUAAAGGCUCAACUAAGUUCGUAUGAUAUUUUAGGACUAGUUGGUAUAUUUGGUCGAGGUCCCGAGGGCUUCAGGUGAUUUCCGGAUGGUUAAUAGAUCAAUUUGGACUUGUGAGAAUGGUUGAAGUGCACCAGUUCUGGUGUAAUCGCACCUGCGUAACUUUGACCGCAGGUGCGAGCUCGCAGAGGCGAGCAUUUGUGCGCAAAUGUGGGGCUAGAGGAAAUGGCCUAUGGUCGCAUGUGCGGUGUGAAGGCCGCAGAAGUGGAGUUGGGCAUGGAAGCUGGGACCGCAGAAGCGUCUUGUAAGCUCACUGAAAUGAGUCCGCAGAGGCGGAGUGAGGGGAUGAAGGAGCGGAAGAAGCCACAGAUGCGAGUGAGUGGUCUCUUCUGCGACGCCGCAGAAGCGGAAGUACUGGCAGAACACUUAAAUACAAGGGUUCGCGAUUUUGCUUCAUUUUAAACAUUUUGAGCUCGGGUCUUGGCGAUUUUUGAGAUCAUCUUUGAGGGAUUUCUUGGGGUAAGUCUCUUGUACUCAUUUUUUAUCAAUAAUCUUGUUUCCCCAUUGAUUUUCCCACCUAGUUUGUGUGUAUUUAAGGUGGAAUUUGGGAGUUUGAGGCUAGGGAUUUGGAGAGUUUAAUUUGGGGAUUUGAGUGGCGACUUGGUGUCGGAUUUUAGUAAAAUUUGUAUGGUUGGACUCAUGGUUGAAUGGGUGUUCAUAUUUUUUGACUUUUACCGAUCCCGAGACAUGGGGCCGGGUCGACCUUUUGGGCCGAGUUUUCAAUUUUUUGCUAAAGUCGUAGUUUCAUUAUUUAAAUUAGUUUCUUGUAAAUAUAUUUAUAGUAUAUGAUUGUUUUGGCUAGAUUUGACCCGAUCGGAGUCGGAAUGUCAAGGGAAAGGCAUUCUUAUCGAUUGAUUGAGUGAUAUUUGAGGUAAGUGACUUGUCUAAUCUUGUGUGAGGGAACCUCACCUUAGGAUUUGGUAUUGUUGUAACAAUUUGUGAUAUGUUAGCAUCGUGUACGCAAGGUGACGAGUGCGUACACAUGCUAAAUGUGGAAUUUCCGGUACUUGCUGAGUAGUCUUCUUUUUAAUUCCUUAACUGAGUUGCCUUAGCAUGUGUAGUUGUCAUGUUUAGCCUAGUAUCGCAUGGCUACGUGUCUUAACUUUUACUUGAAAUUUGUGCAACAUACUUGGUGUAAAUUCGUUAUUCCAUAGGUUAUGAGUUUGCAUAUUUACUUUUGGGACUACGAAGUGGUACCUCGGGAGACCCCCCCUGUUGUGUAUUUACUUUUGGGACUACGAGAUGGUACCUCGGGAGAUCCCCCUGUUGCAUAUUUACUUUUGGGACUACAAGGCAGUACCUCUGGAGAUCCCCCUGUUGCAUAUUUACUUUUGGGACUACGAGGCGGUACCUCGGGAGAUCCCUCUGUUGUGUAUUUAUAUUUGGGACUACGAGGCGAUCCCUCGGGAGCGCCCCUGUUGUUUACCUCUAUUUGUGGUGUUGUUACCUUUCUCAAAAUUUCUUGUUGUUCAUUUCUUAGUCAUUUCAUUAUAUUAUUACAUUUUCUGCCUCAUUUCCUUUUAUUCUAGUAGGGCCUUGACCUGACCUCGUCACUACUCUACUGAGGUUAGGCUUGGCACUUACUGGGUACCGUUGUGGUGUACUCAUACUACACUUCUGCACAUCUUUUUGUGCAGAUCGAGGUUCUUCCUACCAGGCCAGAUACUAGUGAGUUGGACCGUACGUGGAGACUUCAAGGUAUAUCUUCCAGCGUCAGCAGACCUCGGAGUCCCAUCUAUCCUUAUUAUGUUAUUUUCCUUAUUCUCUUUAGACUCUGAUGUAUAGAGACACUUAGUAUUUUCUCUUAGAAGCUUGUGACUUAUUUCUACCGAAUUUUGGGAG
Molecule: long non-coding RNA, 7373 nt
Filed under: Nicotiana tabacum (common tobacco)
Lineage: Eukaryota; Viridiplantae; Streptophyta; Magnoliopsida; Solanales; Solanaceae
Description: long non-coding RNA (NTAB_LNC017427)
Source: RNAcentral